This is a small nucleolar RNA of Oncorhynchus tshawytscha (Chinook salmon), 133 nucleotides long. Lineage: Eukaryota; Metazoa; Chordata; Actinopteri; Salmoniformes; Salmonidae. The record is from Ensembl.
UGCAGCCUUGUCAAAUUCUAUGCUUCCUCUACAAUGGACUGCACUGGCCCAAAUGGCUGCCACAGUGAACCUGUAGUUCAUGGGCCUCAUCUCUUUUAUAUUGUUGUCGGAUACAUUUGUACUACAGACAAUA